CCUACGGGAGGCAGCAGUGGGGAAUAUUGGGCAAUGGGCGCAAGCCUGACCCAGCAACGCCGCGUGAAGGAAGAAGGCUUUCGGGUUGUAAACUUCUUUUCUCAGGGACGAAGCAAGUGACGGUACCUGAGGAAUAAGCCACGGCUAACUACGUGCCAGCAGCCGCGGUAAUACGUAGGUGGCAAGCGUUAUCCGGAUUUACUGGGUGUAAGGGGCGUGUAGGCGGGAAAGCAAGUCAGAUGUGAAAACCAUGGGCUCAACCUGUGGCGUGCAUUUGAAACUGUUUUUCUUGAGUACUGGUGAGGCAGACGGAAUUCCUAGUGUAGCGGUGAAAUGCGUAGAUAUUAGGAGGAACACCAGUUGCGAAGGCGGUCUGCUGGACAGCAACUGACGCUGAGGCGCGAAAGCGUGGGGAGCAAACAGGAUUAGAUACCCGAGUAGUC
Molecule: ribosomal RNA, 443 nt
Filed under: uncultured bacterium
Lineage: Bacteria
Description: partial 16S ribosomal RNA
Rfam family: Bacterial small subunit ribosomal RNA
Source: RNAcentral